RNAcentral lists this ribosomal RNA (339 nucleotides) under uncultured Nitrosomonadales bacterium. Its description in RNAcentral is "bacterial SSU rRNA". It matches the Rfam family "Bacterial small subunit ribosomal RNA", at positions 194 to 528 of the family's 1533-position model. Lineage: Bacteria; Pseudomonadati; Pseudomonadota; Betaproteobacteria; Nitrosomonadales. The record is from RNAcentral.
AGGGGAUCGUAAGACCUAGCGUUGAUGGAGCGGCCGAUAUCUGAUUAGCUAGUUGGUGGGGUAAGAGCCUACCAAGGCGACGAUCAGUAGCUGGUCUGAGAGGACGACCAGCCACACUGGAACUGAGACACGGCCCAGACUCCUACGGGAGGCAGCAGUGGGGAAUUCUGGACAAUGGGGGCAACCCUGAUCCAGCAAUGCCGCGUGAGUGAAGAAGGCCCUCGGGUUGUAAAGCUCUUUCGCAAGGGAAGAAACGAUACAGACGAAUAAUCUGUGUUAAUGACGGUACCUUGAUAAGAAGCACCGGCUAACUACGUGCCAGCAGCCGCGGUAAUACGU